CUGCGUGAAGUCGGAAUCGCUAGUAAUCGCGGAUCAGCAUGCCGCGGUGAAUACGUUCCCGGGCCUUGUACACACCGCCCGUCACACCAUGAGAGUCGGGAACACCCGAAGCCCGUAGCCUAACAGCAAUGAGGGCGCGGUCGAAGGUGGGUUCGAUAAUUGGGGUGAAGUCGUAACAAGGUAAC
Molecule: ribosomal RNA, 185 nt
Filed under: uncultured bacterium
Lineage: Bacteria
Description: partial 16S ribosomal RNA
Rfam family: Bacterial small subunit ribosomal RNA
Source: RNAcentral